GACGAACGCUGGCGGCGUGCCUAAUACAUGCAAGUUGAGCGAUGAAGAUUGGUGCUUGCACCAAUUUGAAGAGCAGCGAACGGGUGAGUAACGCGUGGGGAAUCUGCCUUUGAGCGGGGGACAACAUUUGGAAACGAAUGCUAAUACCGCAUAACAACUUUAAACAUAAGUUUUAAGUUUGAAAGAUGCAAUUGCAUCACUCAAAGAUGAUCCCGCGUUGUAUUAGCUAGUUGGUGAGGUAAAGGCUCACCAAGGCGAUGAUACAUAGCCGACCUGAGAGGGUGAUCGGCCACAUUGGGACUGAGACACGGCCCAAACUCCUACGGGAGGCAGAAGUAGGGAAUCUUCGGCAAUGGACGAAAGUCUGACCGAGCAACGCCGCGUGAGUGAAGAAGGUUUUCGGAUCGUAAAACUCUGUUGGUAGAGAAGAACGUUGGUGAGAGUGGAAAGCUCAUCAAGUGACGGUAACUACCCAGAAAGGGACGGCUAACUACGUG
RNAcentral lists this ribosomal RNA (497 nucleotides) under uncultured bacterium. Its description in RNAcentral is "partial 16S ribosomal RNA". It matches the Rfam family "Bacterial small subunit ribosomal RNA", at positions 28 to 507 of the family's 1533-position model. The record is from RNAcentral.